UACGUAGGGUGCAAGCGUUGUCCGGAAUUAUUGGGCGUAAAGAGCUCGUAGGCGGUCUGUCGCGUCGGCUGUGAAAACCCGGAGCUCAACUCCGGGCCUGCAGUCGAUACGGGCAGACUGGAGUUCGGCAGGGGAGACUGGAAUUCCUGGUGUAGCGGUGAAAUGCGCAGAUAUCAGGAGGAACACCGGUGGCGAAGGCGGUUCUCUGGGCAUGACCUGACGCUGAGGAGCGAAAGCAUGGGGAGCGAACAGG
This 253-nucleotide ribosomal RNA is filed under the name uncultured bacterium. Its description in RNAcentral is "partial 16S ribosomal RNA". It matches the Rfam family "Bacterial small subunit ribosomal RNA", at positions 524 to 776 of the family's 1533-position model. The record is from RNAcentral.